Molecule: unclassified non-coding RNA, 228 nt
Filed under: uncultured Stephanosporaceae
Lineage: Eukaryota; Fungi; Basidiomycota; Agaricomycetes; Agaricales; Stephanosporaceae
Description: sequence contains ITS2
Source: RNAcentral
AAUCUUCAACCUCAAAACCUUUGUGUUUUUGAGGCUUGGUCUUGAGGGUUUUGCAGGCUUUUUUAAAGUCAGCUCCCUUUAAAUUCAUUAGCGAGACUUCCCUUUGUUUGAGCCGGUCUCAUUGGCAUGAUAGUUAUCUGUGUCAACGUCGGUUCUCGUUGGGCUUGCUUCUAAUCGUCUUCGGACAACAGGAUUUUGGGUGCAUAUAUGCGCACAUUUUCCAAGCCU